CCCUUAGAUGUUCUGGGCCGCACGCGCGCUACACUGAUGCAUUCAACGAGCCUUAACCUUGACCGAGAGGUCCGGGUAAUCUUUGAAACUGCAUCGUGAUGGGGCUAGAUUAUUGCAAUUAUUAAUCUUCAACGAGGAAUGCCUAGUAGGCGCAAGUCAUCAGCUUGCGUCGAUUACGUCCCUGCCCUUUGUACACACCGCCCGUCGCUCCUACCGAUUGGGUGUGCUGGUGAAAUGUUCGGAUCGGCCGUUUGUCGCGGUUUCCGCGUCAUGUGGCUGAGAAGUUCAUUAAACCCUCCCACCUAGAGGAAGGAGAAGUCGUAACA
Molecule: ribosomal RNA, 326 nt
Filed under: uncultured eukaryote
Lineage: Eukaryota
Description: partial 18S ribosomal RNA
Rfam family: Eukaryotic small subunit ribosomal RNA
Source: RNAcentral